Molecule: long non-coding RNA, 576 nt
Organism: Lycium barbarum (goji berry)
Lineage: Eukaryota; Viridiplantae; Streptophyta; Magnoliopsida; Solanales; Solanaceae
Exons: 3
Source: RefSeq, a predicted model, not a curated record
AGCUUUGGAGUAGAAAAAUCAAUUUUGACAAAAAUCCGAGCCCCGAAUCCCGAAGCCCAUGAAGGGAAAAGUGUUGUACGCUGCGUUGUCUUCAAUUUGAGUUAAAAAUCAACCAAGGAGGGGGGUGAUAACUUGGUGGCCGAAUUCUUAAGAUUUCGGAGGAAACGGGAUUUGAGUUUGGACAAGCGUAAAAAGCAAAUAAGGUACACCCAGAUGAUGUGGAGUUAUUAUAGAGGAUGUUCCGGCAGAGUUGGCAAGCUCCAUUUGUUCCUGGGGUGCCACCGAGUCAGAGUUUGUAUGUGUGCUUCUUCUGGAUUGAUGUUAGAGACUUUGCAGACAGAGUCGUGGGUAUAGUAUGUCAGUUGUGUAAGCGGCUUCGUCAGCCGAUAUGCCAUCCUGUCUUAUGCAUUAAAUUCUAUAUGAUCACAGAUUCUGUUUGAUUUGGAAAAUAUCGAAAAGAAUAUUUUGAGAAGUUAUUAUGUAUUUUAUCUUUAUUUGAUUUUAAAAGUCUAACAAGAUUUUGUGUGUCCCGAAGGUCUGUGGGUUCGCUCGGCUCCGGAUGUGGGGCCGGGUGCC